Molecule: ribosomal RNA, 563 nt
Filed under: uncultured Glomus
Lineage: Eukaryota; Fungi; Glomeromycota; Glomeromycetes; Glomerales; Glomeraceae
Description: SSU rRNA
Rfam family: Eukaryotic small subunit ribosomal RNA
Source: RNAcentral
UUGGAGGGCAAGUCUGGUGCCAGCAGCCGCGGUAAUUCCAGCUCCAAUAGCGUAUAUUAAAGUUGUUGCAGUUAAAAAGCUCGUAGUUGAUUUCGGGAUCAAUAUGUUGGUCGUGCCUUGGUACGUACUGGCGUCAUUGGUUUCUACCUUCUGAAGAACCUCGAUGUCAUUAAUUUGGUGUCUUGGGGAAUCAGGACUGUUACUUUGAAAAAAUUAGAGUGUUUAAAGCAAGCUCACGCUUGAAUACAUUAGCAUGGAAUAAUGAAAUAGGACGUUUGAUUCUAUUUUGUUGGUUUCUAGGAUCGACGUAAUGAUUAAUAGGGAUAGUUGGGGGCAUUAGUAUUCAAUUGCCAGAGGUGAAAUUCUUGGAUUUAUUGAAGACUAACUACUGCGAAAGCAUUUGCCAAGGAUGUUUUCAUUAAUCAAGAACGAAAGUUAGGGGAUCGAAGACGAUCAGAUACCGUCGUAGUCUUAACCAUAAACUAUGCCGACUAGGGAUCGGAUGAUGUUAAUUUUUUAAUGACUCAUUCGGCGCCUUACGGGAAACCAAAGUGUUUGGGUUC